GUCCCGAUGUCCAAUUAGUCUAGAUUUUCAAAUUUUUUGCCCUAUUGUACAACUACUUGAUAAAUUUGGCUAAAUGACACAUUUUUUAAGUUUGGAUGCUCGCGUGAGACUUAAAUGCUAAGUAAAAAAAUAAAAAUAAAUUUAUGAAAAAAAAAGAAACAAAUUUAAGGAAAGAGGGGUUACCGUUACUUUGUCUACAAAAUCUUUAAUUUUUUUAAAAUUUCCAAAUUAGAGACCUAGCUUUUUAACCUAAAUUUUUUAGUUUAAAUUACCGAACGAAAUGUUGUGGUCAAGUGCAUCUUCAUCCAACGCGUCACAUAGACAGAGAAAGAAUGAGUUUCCACUUGUUGAAGACAGAGAUGAACCAGUUCUUAUAAUGUGUAGAUGUGCUAAAGAAGUGCGAAGGAGGACAUCAUGGAUGGUUGAGAAUCCUGGCAUCAAACUGUGAUCACUUUGUUUGGUAUGAUGUUGAAUUUUCGAAGAGGACUAAGGAGGUGAUUCAAGACUUUAUAGAUGAGGUUGACAGAUUGAAGGAUAUUAAUGCAGAAAUGGGUGGUGGGGAAAGAAGAGCCUUGUAUGCUGAAUCCUAUAGGAUGCAAAUUAGGUUGGAGAUGGAAGUUAAGAAAUUAAAGAUGAAAGCUAACAAUUUGAAAAAGAAAAAAGAAGGUUAUUUGAAGACUACCACAACUUGCAAGAAAUUGGUCAUUAUGUCAUAGUUGUUGAUGUUAGUCUUGUUUGGUUGUUUUUGUUAUAUUAGAAUAGGAUGUUCAUGUUAGCCUUGUUUAUGUUGGAUGUUCGUUGUCAUGGUUGUAUUAUAGUUCUUUUGUUGGUAGCUUGGAGGAUUAGAAACAUGACUAUUGCUUUCCAAUUGGUUGUUUUUGCAUUAAUUAUUACUUCACCAAUCUUAUUGAUUAGUGUACCCGUUGUUUUUUCUUCUCCUGAUGGUUGGUCGAGUAAGGCAGGUUACAUUUGUAUUUCUUUGAAAGAAAUAAAAAUUCAACUUCACUUA
Molecule: long non-coding RNA, 1009 nt
Organism: Ricinus communis (castor bean)
Lineage: Eukaryota; Viridiplantae; Streptophyta; Magnoliopsida; Malpighiales; Euphorbiaceae
Exons: 2
Source: RefSeq, a predicted model, not a curated record